This 190-nucleotide non-coding RNA is filed under the name Deltaproteobacteria bacterium. RNAcentral describes it as "6S RNA". It matches the Rfam family "6S / SsrS RNA". From Rfam's summary of the family: E. coli 6S RNA was the first non coding RNA to be sequenced, but its function was unknown until recently. It consists of 184 nucleotides that fold into an extended hairpin structure with a large single-stranded internal bulge. Lineage: Bacteria; Pseudomonadati; Myxococcota; Myxococcia. The record is from RNAcentral.
AUCCCCCUGCGGUGUUGGUGAUGAUGCCCAUAUUCUUUGAGCCAACAGCGAAAAAAAGGGAGCCGUCCCUUGUUGCGGCUGGCAAGCCCCCGUCCUCCGGGACUCAGGGGAAGCCAAAAGCAGCAAUAUGGCGCCCACCUAGAAACCUAGGUUCAAAAAGAAAGCAUCACACGGCACUCGCGGGGGGUCC